Molecule: ribosomal RNA, 264 nt
Filed under: uncultured archaeon
Lineage: Archaea
Description: partial 16S ribosomal RNA
Rfam family: Archaeal small subunit ribosomal RNA
Source: RNAcentral
AGACGUCUACAUUAGAUACCCGCGUAGUCCCAGCCGUAAACUAUGCGCGUUAGGUGUAUCGGUGACCACGAGUUACCGAGGUGCCGAAGGGAAACCGUGAAACGUGCCGCCUGGGAAGUACGGUCGCAAGGCUGAAACUUAAAGGAAUUGGCGGGGAGCACCACAACGGGUGGAGCCUGCGGUUUAAUUGGACACAACGCCGGGAAGCUCACCGGAUAGGACAGCAGAAUGAUUGCCGGGCUGAAGACCCUGCAUGACUAGCUG